GGGCCCAUAGCUCAGUUGGGAGAGCGCUUGAAUGGCAUUCAAGAGGUCAGGAGUUCGAAUCUCCUUGGGUCCA
RNAcentral lists this transfer RNA (73 nucleotides) under Bacteroidota bacterium. Its description in RNAcentral is "tRNA-Ala". It matches the Rfam family "tRNA". Rfam says of the family: Transfer RNA (tRNA) molecules are approximately 80 nucleotides in length. Their secondary structure includes four short double-helical elements and three loops (D, anti-codon, and T loops). Lineage: Bacteria; Pseudomonadati; Bacteroidota. RNAcentral also lists the same sequence under 7 other names. The record is from RNAcentral.